AUAAGAGAUCAUAUUAAAGAAAAACAACCACAACAACAAAACUGGCUGGAGUUUCAGUGAUGCUGAGUUGGGAACGACUUCCAUCCAUUCUAUAUGAUUGGUAAGACAAGGAGCAGAUAAGAAUCCUGAGGAAGACUCUAUAACCAGGCCUUCUGACACACCUGGUCCUGAUGAUUUAUGGUCUACAUCAGCUAGCCAAGACUUUGAUUUUGGUACCAAG
This is a long non-coding RNA of Felis catus (domestic cat), 220 nucleotides long. RefSeq lists it as uncharacterized. The transcript has 3 exons. NCBI's taxonomy places the organism in Eukaryota, Metazoa, Chordata, Mammalia, Carnivora, Felidae. The record is from RefSeq and is a predicted model, not a curated record.